RNAcentral lists this long non-coding RNA (3903 nucleotides) under Acanthaster planci (crown-of-thorns starfish). RNAcentral's name for it is "uncharacterized LOC110979146". The record is from RNAcentral. Lineage: Eukaryota; Metazoa; Echinodermata; Asteroidea; Valvatida; Acanthasteridae.
AAGCAAGGAAAGAACCGCUACGCUUACCCGCUCCCCCACCUUGGUGCUGGUGUCUGCUCAACUCAAUUUAUACAAUUAUUUGCUGCGUUCACUUUUUCAGUUUUAUCUUCCGUCUCCAAAGCAACGUUUAGCAUCACCGUGGCCAAUAUGAGAAAUAGAAACAUUGGCCUGAUUGGCUUGUGGUUUGGUACCAGCCUGUGGUUAUUUUGUUAGGCUGCACAUGGUUAUCUAUUGACACAAACCUGUUAUAAAGUUUAUUCCUCGCAUGUCCAUGUCGUGCAGGUGGCAAUAAUCAACCACAGAGCAAUUUUGACCUACUAGGAGGGUUUGGAGGGCCACCCAUGACACAACCCACCACACAACCCAUGACACAACCACAGACACAACAGCCCUCGGGGUCAACAGACUGGGGAGAUUUUACAAGUGCACAAACUGGGAGCAGCAAUCCUGGCUGGGUGACAUUUUGAGUUCGCACUGAUGGCCAAUCAGAAGCCAAAUAACAGUAGGUUGAAGCAGCUCAUCCAAGUAUCUUUGUGCUUUCACACCCAAGUAGAUGUCACAGCUGCACAAUUGGCUGAAAGGAUCUGUGUGGGCGGAGCCAAAGCUCUUGCAACUUGCAUUAAACAACCCGUCGUCCAAUCUCUGCUUUUGUCACAGUUUAGGCAUUGUAGCUCCAGUAAAGUGAUAUUCUAUUGGGUGAAGCAGAUUUAAGCAAGGAAUUGUCCAAAUCGGUGUUGAUAUUUAUAAGGAAAAGAUUGGUUUAAAAGUCUAACCAUCAAUUUUGGAAAAUCAGACGUGAGGAAUUGCUUUUUCUAAAUAGCAUAUUGUACAAAUGUAACAUAGUUGGAGGGGAAGCGAGUACAUUUAUGCCAUAGUUCCCACAGAUUUUAGGAGAUUGCAAAAUAAUUUGAUAUAUGUGCAGUUCACAAAGGAACUGAUGAUGGUCAAUCUACUUGAAAUAAGCCAUGUGAUGUUUAUCAUGUAGCAUACGAAUUGAGCAAGUUAUUUGUGCAAAAAAUAAGUAAAUUUGAAUAUGAAAUACAUUCCAACCCAUUGCAAAUCAUAAUUGAGGUACAUUAUGCAGCAAGACAUGGAAACGUUUUACUCACUGACAUAAUAUGAACAUGUCACGCAGAAAGAGAACACAACCAGUUUCUGCCCCACUUAAGCAUUCAGCCAAUGAAGAUGCUUAGCUAGAUCAUAACUAUGCAUCAAGUGCAUGCAUAGCAUGAAUAUUCAACAGCACUCUAAUCUGGCUUCCCUCGUGCAGUAGCUGUAGGGAUUGUAAAUUUGGGACAAAAAGUUGGCGGGCAAGUUACCCCAAAGUCUCAUGUCGUGUAUUGUACAAAAGGGGAUCAGGAAUCCUUGUAUGCAGAUGCAGAUGUACAAAAGAAUUUGAUUUUGAGUGUCGGGUACCGUAGGCAUAUGGUUCUAUGCCUUCAUGCACUUCAAUACAAAGUACUGUACAUUUUUAUUUUCACUGUACCAACCAAUCUAUGAGGCACAUGGAAACUUGUAACUCUUCAGCUUAUGUUAUUAAACUUACUGUUUUAACGAACGGUUCACUGCCUCUGUUGAGAGAGACCUCUCUGGUUCAUACCGUGUUGUUUGCAGUUCGCAGCAACACGGGGCAGGCGUUCGGUGAUUGAUGGGACAGUUUUGACUGCUUCAAGCUUAUGUUACAGUCAAGUCUGUCUCUGGUCAUAGCAAGCCGUCACUAGUCAGCUCUAGAUGGUCCAAUCACAAGCUAUCGUAAUGAACAGGGACAAUCUAUCAUAGUUAGUCCCUCUAGUCCUUGCCAUCUGACUUGUGACAGGACUUGUGAUGGGUUGGACUUAAUUGCGCCCUGCCAUCGUUAGUGGGCCCGUAUGCAGUACAUUUUGCCUUGUCUUUCAGCUCAUGAUCCAGGGUGCAAAACAGGCCUUUGACUCAACUGUACGGCCGUGUCCGAAACGGGCUUCCAGAGGUCUAUUGUCUGUGCGUCUCCGUGCAUUUCCAAUGGAACGAAGACCUAGACCUAGCUCUAGACAACAGAGUCUGAUGCAGCCUAAACGAAGCCAUCAAGAAACUCAAAAGGUUUUUCACACAGCUCCCACAGCACAGAAACUUGCAUAGCACAGAAUGACGUAUGCUAAUAGAUAGAACAGGUUACCAGCCGAAGUACCAUACGCAACAUAUACCCUACCAUACGUUACUGCUUCCCUGCUCAUUUAUGCUUGGAACACGAACUUGCAAAGCGUUGCUUUCUCCAUGGGACCUCCCUGACGUUGGGCGCUCAUCUAAAACAAUUUCGCCAGGACUUUCUGCAGAACUAUGAGACUUGACACACCUUCAGGAAACAUGUUGGUUUGGUUACAGAUAAACAUUAUACAUGUGCUUUGAAAAUCGGUACAGUUAUUUCAGAAUGUCAACCGUAUGUUCAGUUCUUUUGCUUGGGGGGAUUAAUGUAUUGUUGUAUAUCCAAUAAUUAUGUGACGAUAAAUGACAUUGAUUAUUCAAAUCAUGUACAUGUAUUGAAAUUACGUGUCAUUCAGUAUGACCGUCUUUGUUGUGCGUUUUGGAAAUAGUCUCUCCUCGCCUGAUUGGUUUUUGGUUUGUUCAAGACAUCACAUAAGAGAUGUGUACAGAUAUAGCAAUCAAACCUCAUAGGUUCUGUUGACUUUAAUGGUAUCUAGAAAGGGUUUAGGUGUACAAUCGAACCUCGUUAAUUCGUGUACAUGUAACAGGUCCAUUGGACUUAGCAGCUUACUUUGUUAUACCAGAAACCUUGUACUAUAUUAUCAAGAAUGAAAAUAAUGAAGAACAAAAGACUGGAAGUUAAAAAUGUCCUUUAUGUGCUCUUAUUAGCAAGGUUCGACUGUAUAAUCGUAUCUAUAUGGCCCUGGGGCUGGUUAUUUCUCAUUUUUUUUCCUUAACGUUUCUUAAGUUGGUUAAUUAAGUUAAUUUUGUAGUUAGUAAAAUGGUUACUCAGAAGCGGUGAAUGCCUUGCCCUCGCCGUUGUUGAUCAAUGUACAUUACUCAAAUCAGGUGUUGUGUUAUAAAUUUACCGGUGGUACUGACUUGCGAGCUGGGAAUGUACAGUAGGUUUGAGGAUGGCCCAUCCAGCCGUGUAGCCGAAAGUACAUGCAAUGUCUGAGUCUGAAAAUGAUACGUGAAGUCUGGGAAGCCACUGGCGAGGAGUCUAGUUGCAGCCGCUUCCCUUAUACUUGUGUGUUAGUUAUUUUCAUCCACAGUCGCAACGUUCGGACACGGCUUUAUCCAUGCUCGCCAGGAGGGUUUAGGCAUCUCUUGGUGGCAGCAGACUCAACUGGUAGUCUGCCGCUUGUUUCCCCCCCCCCCUUCCCUGUUGUGCAAACGAACAGCGUGAUGUAAAGCUGAACUCUAAUUACAGUGGUUCUUUAUUUCUUAAAUAUUAUCGUUCUGGUCAUGUUUUAGCCGAAAGUGUAAAGCAGAUUUGGUCGUUGUACCACCGUUAUCAACCACCACUGAAGGAAAUAUGCACCAAGAGGCCGUUCUCGCUUCGCUACGUCUCUCGCAAGACACAAAUGGUUGUAUAUUAAUGUAUCGUUUCAGUUCGGUAUUCAUCUAGCAAGCAGAAGCUUACAAGUGACACCAUUGUUCCAUUUAGCUUGUUUCCAUGAUGUACAUUUAUGUGAAAUAGAUAUUGUAACAGUACUCGUAUAUGAAUUAUCACAAAGUGUAUAUUUUUCAAAUAUUUCCCGAAGUAUGUCGUCAGUUCGGGCGUCAGAAACAGUUCGUUGCAUGUUCACCAUUCUACCCCACAAUACAGGAAAGGGGGAAAUCGUUGUAAUUGUACAUGUAGGCCAGUGCGGUAUAUUAGGCUAUGGCUGGAUAGUUGUCGGGAAAAUAAAAAAAGAGAAUUGAUUAACCACAGUGAAAUAA